CAGCGGAAGUUUAGGGGCGGGGCCCACGGGAUGGAUUGAAAGUGUGGGCCUCAGGAUGAGAGAGGGGAGCAACUUUAGGGUAGAGUUGAGGCGGUCGGACUAGAUGGAGGUGGGGACAAGGGGCACCUCAGGACGCGGACGCAGCCGCCAACCACCAGGACGCCGGCCUGUGACCUGGGAAAUCUCUGACUCAGAGCCCGAGAGCCCAUCCAGCUACCGUGCCGAGGGCCUUGGUGACCCAGGAGAGGCGAGUGCCGAAUCUAAGGACCCUGGGGGCCUUGAUCCCCCAGUGGGUCCCGUGGCUGCUCCGGGGCAAGCCCGGCCUCGGGAAAGGGUGGGGAGAAAGGCGCAGGAGAAGCUGGGUACUGCAGCUGCUCGAGCCGAGGCCCGGAGGAAGGACCGGGAGCUGGAAAGGCAGAAGAGGAAAAGUGCAGCUGAAGCCCUCAGGCUAAUGCGACCGGACCGUUGCCUGAUGCACUUGACCGUCCUUCUGGACCCAGCUCUCCUGGAAAAUGCUGGCUCUGAUAUCCUAAUAGAGGCUUUGGUUUCCCUGAAAUGUGAGUAUGUCAUUGAGCCUCAGCCAUGGGUCCAAAGUCUCACCUGGAAGAGAUCAGUGCCAACCAUCUGCCAGAGCAGUGCUGCUCCUGCUUCACUAUGGGUUGCAGAAGUUCAGGAAGUACUGGUGGUCCUGGAACCAGAGGAAUUUCUCAAAGGCCUCAUCUCACUAGCACAGGUGCUGGGGAGUGAGAGAGUCAGCCACUCCUUGGCAGCCUCUCUCUUUAUUCAAGAUGCUAAACUAUUUUCUAGCCCUGUCUUAUCUACCCCUGCCCCAGUAUAUUCACAUCUAAAGCUGGCAGCAGGGAGAAUUCAUCUUUAGGCCCAGAGGUUCCUCUUUUUUU
This is a long non-coding RNA of Monodelphis domestica (gray short-tailed opossum), 899 nucleotides long. The record is from Ensembl. NCBI's taxonomy places the organism in Eukaryota, Metazoa, Chordata, Mammalia, Didelphimorphia, Didelphidae.